AUACUUACCUGGCAGGGGAGAUCCAUGAACCCAGGGGUGGUUUUGCCAGGGCGAGGCAUAUUAAUUGUACUCUGGAUGUGCUGACACCUACGAUUCCCCUAAAUGUGGGAAAUUUAACUGCGUAAUUCGUGGUAGUGAGGACUGCAUUAGAGCUCGCCCCUG
Small nuclear RNA from Pteronotus mesoamericanus, 162 nucleotides. RefSeq annotates it as U1 spliceosomal RNA. NCBI's taxonomy places the organism in Eukaryota, Metazoa, Chordata, Mammalia, Chiroptera, Mormoopidae. The record is from RefSeq and is a predicted model, not a curated record. The transcript has a single exon.